Molecule: long non-coding RNA, 163 nt
Organism: Etheostoma cragini (Arkansas darter)
Lineage: Eukaryota; Metazoa; Chordata; Actinopteri; Perciformes; Percidae
Exons: 3
Source: RefSeq, a predicted model, not a curated record
CGGCGGCCAUUUUGAUGUGUACUAUUGCCAUUGCAAAGAGCUCUGAACGUUGCUGGCUAACUCAUUCUGUUUCUUUGGUCAAUGCACAGUGCUGAGUGCCAUUUUCUUUUGAACUAGUGAAAUGACCACAGCAAACAGUAUAAUCUCAUUCACUUUCAAGUAU